AGAGUUUGAUCCUGGCUCAGGAUGAACGCUGGCGGCGUGCCUAACACAUGCAAGUCGAGCGAUCUUCUUCGGAAGAGAGCGGCGGACGGGUGAGUAACGCGUGGGUAACCUGCCUCAUACACAUGGAUAACAUACCGAAAGGUAUGCUAAUACAAGAUGAUAUAAGAGAUUCGCAUGGAUUUCUUAUCAAAGCUCCGGCGGUAUGAGAUGGACCCGCGUCUGAUUAGCUAGUUGGUAAGGUAACGGCUUACCAAGGCGACGAUCAGUAGCCGACCUGAGAGGGUGAUCGGCCACAUUGGAACUGAGACACGGUCCAAACUCCUACGGGAGGCAGCAGUGGGGAAUAUUGCACAAUGGGCGAAAGCCUGAUGCAGCAACGCCGCGUGAGCGAUGAAGGCCUUCGGGUCGUAAAGCUCUGUCCUCAAGGAAGAUAAUGACGGUACUUGAGGAGGAAGCCCCGGCUAACUACGUGCCAGCAGCCGCGGUAAUACGUAGGGGGCUAGCGUUAUCCGGAUUUACUGGGCGUAAAGGGUGCGUAGGUGGUUUCUUAAGUCAGGAGUGAAAGGCUACGGCUUAACCGUAGUAAGCUCUUGAAACUGGGAAACUUGAGUGCAGGAGAGGAAAGUGGAAUUCCUAGUGUAGCGGUGAAAUGCGUAGAUAUUAGGAGGAACACCAGUAGCGAAGGCGGCUUUCUGGACUGUAACUGACACUGAGGCACGGAAGCGUGGGGAGCAAACAGGAUUAGAUACCCUGCUAGUCCACGCCGUAAACGAUGAGUACUAUGUGUCGGGGGUUACCCCCCUCGGUGCCGCAGCUAACGCAUUAAGUACUCCGCCUGGGGAGUACGCUCGCAAGAGUGAAACUCAAAGGAAUUGACGG
RNAcentral lists this ribosomal RNA (879 nucleotides) under uncultured bacterium. RNAcentral's name for it is "bacterial SSU rRNA". It matches the Rfam family "Bacterial small subunit ribosomal RNA", at positions 8 to 916 of the family's 1533-position model. The record is from RNAcentral.